CAGUCUCUCAGCCAAUGGCAUUACAUCUGAAGGUGGGAAGUGUCUGGCAGAGGCGCUGAAAGAGAACAGCGUCCUCAGGAUAUUCUGGUUGGUGCAGAAUGAGUUAACUGAUGAUGCAGCUCCACAUUUGGCUGAGCUGGUCCAAGCGAACACAGGUUUACUCCAUCUCUGGUUAAUCAGCAACCAGUUCACUGUGGAGGGGAUCAGAAAGUUUGCUGAGGCUCUAACUCACAACACAAAGCUCCAAGAGAUAUGGUGA
Non-coding RNA from Plectropomus leopardus (leopard coralgrouper), 259 nucleotides. The record is from RefSeq and is a predicted model, not a curated record. NCBI's taxonomy places the organism in Eukaryota, Metazoa, Chordata, Actinopteri, Perciformes, Serranidae.